Tachyglossus aculeatus (Australian echidna) is the source of this 138-nucleotide small nucleolar RNA. The record is from RefSeq and is a predicted model, not a curated record. Lineage: Eukaryota; Metazoa; Chordata; Mammalia; Monotremata; Tachyglossidae.
GCCCCCUCAGGGUCGCACCUGGAGAGUUUCCAGUACUCUACCAGCCUCGACUACGGGAGGGAGAGACAAGCAGAGACAUACCCAUUCCAUUCCUAGCUGGGGCAGGGGCUAACGAGUAGAAGGCAAUCUGCUACAAGU